This 100-nucleotide small nuclear RNA is filed under the name Ornithorhynchus anatinus (platypus). Lineage: Eukaryota; Metazoa; Chordata; Mammalia; Monotremata; Ornithorhynchidae. The record is from RNAcentral.
UUACUACGGCAGCAUAUCUACUAAAAUUGGAAUGAUACAGAGAUCAGCAUGGCCCCUGUGCCAGGACGACAUGCAAAUUUAUGAAACAUUCCGUGGUUUU